Molecule: ribosomal RNA, 506 nt
Filed under: uncultured bacterium
Lineage: Bacteria
Description: partial 16S ribosomal RNA
Rfam family: Bacterial small subunit ribosomal RNA (bases 20-329)
Source: RNAcentral
GACGAACGCUGGCGGCGUGCUUAACACAUGCAAGUCGAACGGAAAGGCCCCCUUGUGGGGUACCCGAGUGGCGAACGGGUGAGUAACACGUGAGUAACCUACCCUUGACUUUGGGAUAACUUCAGGAAACUGGGGCUAAUACCGGAUAGGAGCUCCUGCUGCAUGGUGGGGGUUGGAAAGUUUCGGCGGUUGGGGAUGGACUCGCGGCUUAUCAGCUUGUUGGUGGGGUAGUGGCUCACCAAGGCUUUGACGGGUAGCCGGCCUGAGAGGGUGACCGGCCACAUGGGGAGGGCGGGAGCAGCCCAGACCGGUGGGGAGGCGGCAGGGGGAAUUGUAGGCGAACGGGGGGAAGCUGGGUGGAGCGACGGGGCGGGCGGGAUGACGGGCUGGGGGUUGGAAGCCGCUGUGGGGUGUGAGGGAGGGGGGGCGACGGAAGUGAGAAAAAAAGCACCGGCAACCCACGGGGCAGCAGCCGGGUAAGUAGAUCGGAAAAGCCCACCUCUGAC